Molecule: ribosomal RNA, 631 nt
Filed under: Gordonia sp. S5
Lineage: Bacteria; Bacillati; Actinomycetota; Actinomycetes; Mycobacteriales; Gordoniaceae
Description: bacterial SSU rRNA
Rfam family: Bacterial small subunit ribosomal RNA
Source: RNAcentral
AUCAGCUUGUGGGUGGGGUAAUGGCCUACCCAGGCGACGACGGGUAGCCGACCUGAGAGGGUGAUCGGCCACACUGGGACUGAGACACGGCCCAGACUCCUACGGGAGGCAGCAGUGGGGAAUAUUGCACAAUGGGCGCAAGCCUGAUGCAGCGACGCCGCGUGAGGGAUGACGGCCUUCGGGUUGUAAACCUCUUUCAGCAGGGACGAAGCGCGAGUGACGGUACCUGCAGAAGAAGCACCGGCCAACUACGUGCCAGCAGCCGCGGUAAUACGUAGGGUGCGAGCGUUGUCCGGAAUUACUGGGCGUAAAGAGCUCGUAGGCGGUUUGUCGCGUCGUCUGUGAAAUUCUGCAGCUUAACUGCAGGCGUGCAGGCGAUACGGGCAGACUUGAGUACUACAGGGGAGACUGGAAUUCCUGGUGUAGCGGUGAAAUGCGCAGAUAUCAGGAGGAACACCGGUGGCGAAGGCGGGUCUCUGGGUAGUAACUGACGCUGAGGAGCGAAAGCGUGGGUAGCGAACAGGAUUAGAUACCCUGGUAGUCCACGCCGUAAACGGUGGGUACUAGGUGUGGGUUCCAUUUCACGGGAUCCGUGCGCGUAGCUNACGCAUUAAGUACCCCGUCCUGGGGA